Molecule: ribosomal RNA, 465 nt
Filed under: uncultured bacterium
Lineage: Bacteria
Description: partial 16S ribosomal RNA
Rfam family: Bacterial small subunit ribosomal RNA
Source: RNAcentral
CCUACGUGAGGCAGCAGUGGGGAAUAUUGCGCAAUGGGCGAAAGCCUGACGCAGCGACGCCGCGUGAGGGAUGAAGGUCUUCGGAUCGUAAACCUCUGUCAGCAGGGAAGAACGGUCACUGUGCUAAUCAGCAGUGAAUUGACGGUACCUGCAAAGGAAGCACCGGCCAACUCCGUGCCAGCAGCCGCGGUAAUACGGAGGGUGCGAGCGUUAAUCGGAAUUACUGGGCGUAAAGCGCUCGUAGGCGGUAUGUCAAGUCAAGGGUGAAAUCCCCGCGCUCAACGUGGGAACUGCCUUUGAAUCUGGCAAACUGGAGUGUGUGAGAGGAUAGUGGAAUUCCAGGUGUAGGAGUGAAAUCCGUAGAUAUCUGGAGGAACAUCAGUGGCGAAGGCGACUAUCUGGCACAUAACUGACGCUGAGGAGCGAAAGCGUGGGUAGCAAACAGGAUUAGAUACCCCAGUAGUC